Long non-coding RNA from Hippocampus comes (tiger tail seahorse), 218 nucleotides. RefSeq lists it as uncharacterized. The record is from RefSeq and is a predicted model, not a curated record. The transcript is spliced from 3 exons. Lineage: Eukaryota; Metazoa; Chordata; Actinopteri; Syngnathiformes; Syngnathidae.
GAUCCGUCUUCAGUGUAGGAGGAUAGUUGGCUACUUCAAAAGCAGUACCACUGCAAAGACAAGGCUGACACAGGUGCAGGAGCAAAUGAUGCCUACAGAGCCUGUGCUGAAGCUCAUUCAAGAGGUGGAGACACGCUGGAACAGCACCUUCCACAUGUUGCAACGAAUGUACAACCUCUACAAAUUAGCUAUAACCUUUCUCUGUACCCCAGCCUCAU